UACGUAGGGGGCAAGCGUUGUCCGGAUUUAUUGGGCGUAAAGCGCUCGCAGGCGGUCCCGUGCGUCGUGCGUGAAAGGCCCCGGCUCAACCGGGGGCGGUCGUGCGAUACGGCGGGACUGGAGGCCAGUAGGGGGACGCGGAAUUCCGGGUGGUAGUGGUGGAAUGCGUAGAGAUCCGGAGGAACACCAGCGGCGAAGGCGGCGUCCUGGACUGGCCUGACGCUCAGGAGCG
Molecule: ribosomal RNA, 232 nt
Filed under: uncultured bacterium
Lineage: Bacteria
Description: partial 16S ribosomal RNA
Rfam family: Bacterial small subunit ribosomal RNA
Source: RNAcentral